AUUGUUUCCAGACCAGCCGAGCCAACUGGGGAGGAGAGGCCAGGCCCAGGGAGAGCAGUAAGAGGCCCAGCUUGCAACACAGGCCCCUGGCGGCUGGGGUCGGCUCAUGGGUUGCUGGGGGGCAGCUGGUGCCAGGUGCCAGCCCUGCUAGACAUGUCCAGGGUCGGGGCAGAGGUCAGGGUGGCUCACAUCCACAAUGAGGCUCCAGGAAGAGGCUCCAGAGGGCCCAGGUCCCUGGAGGAGGACAGAGUAUGGAUUAUCCAGUGAGUCCUCAGAGUGCUCCCGGGAGAUUCUACCUCUAGGCCCUCAUCCUGCCUAGGACUCAGGCAGCCAUCUGGGUCUCUGCUUCCCUAACCACUUCCUCCUCCACCCGACCAUCACCUAGUCUCAAGGACCUGGGCAGCUUCUGGAAGUGGCUGAGACUGGAAGAAUGUUGUCACACCUACCAGAUAUCCCUACGUGUAUCUCUACCAGCCCCACUACAUAUUCUGAAGAACCAAGGUGCAACAGGAACCUAGGGCCUCAAGAGCCCAGGUGCUCAGGAGGGGGCAGCAUGACUCCAGGGCUCGGAAGGAGCCCCUCAGGUAAGGUCCCUUCAAAGCCUGAGAGUUCCCUUUGUCCACAACUCAUCUAUUUUG
This 638-nucleotide long non-coding RNA is filed under the name Pongo abelii (Sumatran orangutan). RNAcentral describes it as "lincRNA". Lineage: Eukaryota; Metazoa; Chordata; Mammalia; Primates; Hominidae. The record is from RNAcentral.